CAACCUGCCCACCACUUGGGGAUAACCUUGCGAAAGUAAGACUAAUACCCAAUGAUAUCUCUAGAAGACAUCUGAAAGAGAUUAAAGAUUUAUCGGUGAUGGAUGGGGAUGCGUCUGAUUAGCUUGUUGGCGGGGUAACGGCCCACCAAGGCAACGAUCAGUAGGGGUUCUGAGAGGAAGGUCCCCCACAUUGGAACUGAGACACGGUCCAAACUCCUACGGGAGGCAGCAGUGAGGAAUAUUGGUCAAUGGACGAGAGUCUGAACCAGCCAAGUAGCGUGCAGGAUGACGGCCCUAUGGGUUGUAAACUGCUUUUAUAAGGGAAUAAAGUGAGUCUCGUGAGACUUUUUGCAUGUACCUUAUGAAUAAGGACCGGCUAAUUCCGUGCCAGCAGCCGCGGUAAUACGGAAGGUCCGGGCGUUAUCCGGAUUUAUUGGGUUUAAAGGGAGCGUAGGCCGGAGAUUAAGCGUGUUGUGAAAUGUAGACGCUCAACGUCUGCACUGCAGCGCGAACUGGUUUCCUUGAGUACGCACAAAGUGGGCGGAAUUCGUGGUGUAGCGGUGAAAUGCUUAGAUAUCACGAAGAACUCCGAUUG
This 595-nucleotide ribosomal RNA is filed under the name uncultured Bacteroidota bacterium. Its description in RNAcentral is "bacterial SSU rRNA". It matches the Rfam family "Bacterial small subunit ribosomal RNA", at positions 122 to 715 of the family's 1533-position model. The record is from RNAcentral. Lineage: Bacteria; Pseudomonadati; Bacteroidota.